UACGGAGGGUGCAAGCGUUAUCCGGAUUUAUUGGGUUUAAAGGGUACGUAGGCGGUGAGGUCAGUCAGUGGUGAAAGCCAGCAGCUUAACUGUUGAACUGCCAUUGAUACUGCCUCACUAGAGUUCAGUCGAGGUGGGUGGAAUUCCACAUGUAGUGGUGAAAUGCAUAGAUAUGUGGAGGAACACCGAUAACGAAGGUAACUCACUAGGCUGAUACUGACGCUGAGGUACGAAAGCGUGGGGAGCGAACGGG
This 253-nucleotide ribosomal RNA is filed under the name uncultured bacterium. RNAcentral describes it as "partial 16S ribosomal RNA". It matches the Rfam family "Bacterial small subunit ribosomal RNA", at positions 524 to 776 of the family's 1533-position model. The record is from RNAcentral.